AUUUGUUACUAAGGGUUUAUGGUUUUAAUUUUUAUUAAAGCCCCUGUGUAAAAGGGCUACAUGGCAAGAAAAAUGCUUGGGGUCUGUUUUUUUAGAUAAGAAUAAGGCAGUUAAAGGGAAGGAAGGCUAGUGAGGGGAGGGGAGGGAGAUGGCUCUUGUUUAAAAACCUUGGGACUAUAGGAUUGGUUCAGGAAAAUGAAUUCUAUGACAUUGCUGUAGAACAACAUCUGAUUGCGCCUAUCUAAAGGCGGGGAUAACAAUCCUGAGAGGCUCUGAACCUGGGAAGUUGCCUCUUUCAGCAGACUCACUUGGAAGGGUGCUCAGAAGAGUCAGAAUCAGAUAGAUGUAUACCAUUAAUGCACAUGAAGUUAUGAGAAUUGUGUUGUAUGGUGGUCACUAAAACAUGCUGUAAGUUGGGGAAUCAGCCAGAUAUUAGCUCCCCGGAGGCAACAGCAAAGAAAGUAACCAACGCCCAGGCGCGGUAUCAAACAACCCGUCAGCAGCCAUUAUCCAGCAAGGGAGCUACACUGCAAUGACUGACCUGCAUGAGGCCUCACCAGGGGAAUUGCUCAACCUUGCUUGGAGAGACUCAGUAAUGCUCACUCAGUAGUGCUCACCUGACUCUGAAAGGGUAGAUCCCAGCUUUAUGGGCUGGACAAGGGCUGGAAGAACUAACCAUUGAGUGAGUAACACCUUAUCAGACAGGACAGCACCUUGCUAACAGGUACAGGCUGUAGACUGUGUUUUAUGUUUUUCUUUCACUUGUAAUCUCAUGUUUCCACAUCCUGUUCCUUGCCUUUAUUUUGAAUCUCUCCCUCAGCAUCUGCUAAAUCAAUUUCAGCUUGGUUUUACAAUAAAUAUGUUUAAGAGCCAGGUACUAAGGAGAAGGCUGAACUGAGGGGAAAGCAGCAAGCUGGGAAGCGCAGUUUCCACAGAGGCAGCGGAUCGCUGCACAUUGCGGGUGUGCAGAAGACAGGGGACUGGGCACUGGAGUUUAAUGGAGUCCGAUUGUGUAAGUUGCCGGCCUGCAGGGGGAUAAAGCAGGACUCGCGGAGUGCCAGGAAUGCCAGCAGAGCGAUGUCAGCAAUGGAAGCGCUACUGUUGUAAUUGGGAUGGAAGAUGACCCGCUUCACCGAUGAAAAUGUCUGGGUUGGGGUCUCACUGACAACCCAUUUUUCACCUAUGCCAGGGGCUCUGUUGCCCCAUCAUUCUCCCCAGGCGGCCACACACUGAACACUUCUCUUUGUGGGUGAUAACAACUUGCAGCUCUUGGUCUCUGUGGACGCUUUCCCUAAAACUAGGAACCCCCUAUUCCUGGGUCUGAGGGUGUUUCAAACUGGGAGAUCACUCCUUAGCGCCUCCCCAUGGUGGCUUUUUGCAGGCGCUCAUGGAGGAGCACAGCCAUUCCCACCAUAACACAGUACGGUGACUGGGCCACCUCCCGGUGAAUGUAGGAGACGAAAGAAUCAGAGCCUUAAGCUAGCAAGGGCUCGACCCCACUCUGCCAACAUAACCCUGUCCUACAGAUACAGCCCAUAGUGGUGGCAUGGGGUACAAACUCCACCUCCCCGAGCUGCAGUAGCUACAUCGACAGAGACGACCUUCCGUCCACCUAGCUGCACCAGUCAGGUCGGCCUAGUAGUGAUGCUCAGGUGGGGGUUGAUUUCUCACCACCCUGAGCGAUGUAGAUCUACUGACCUGAAUGGAAAGUGCAGACCCAGCCUCAAUCUCUCCUGCUGAUGGGUAGAAAGGAGAAUGUUAAAUGCCUCUGUCACUCUGGGAUGGUCCCGCAUCCAAGAUCCUUUGCCUGGCCACCUUCCUAUGUACCACAAAGUAGCACCCUGAAACCCCCAUAUUCACCACUAUGAUAUGAUUAUGGUAUGUUUUGUAAAAUGCAUACCUUGUGAGGUAUCAUUUGAAAAGUCUUCAUCUGUUGAACAUUAAUAUCCUGUUGGAUUGUGUGUGCUGUCAAUGUAUGUGAAGUUAUGAAGUUUUGCUCUGUGUGUGUUACUGAAAAAUGUUGGGAGACACCCACAACCAGCCUUUCAGGUACAACAAAGGAGUAGCCAUAAACAGUUAGACAGUGGGUUAAUGGCUCAUCAAAACCCAUCAAGGAAAGAAUCCACUGUCCCAGGAACUGUAUACAAUGGAGACUUCUCAGUGGGACAUGUAUACAGUGGAGACUGCUUGACCAAUAGGGACUGCCUGACCCCCAUGUCACAGCAAAGGAUGUUUCCAGCAAGCUGGAAGAAACUAUAAAAGAGGGGAAGUGACAUCAUCACUUGGCCUCACUCCCCCCACAACUCAACACCUGGAAACACAUCUGGAGGACAAAGACUUUGAACUAGCAGAGGGUGAUCCCAGGCUGGGAAAGAAUCCCAGCCUGUGUAUUGAGGAUCUGUGACCUGUUUGUACCAUCUCUCAGGGGGAGACACUGCUUCGUUCAAAUCCUGUUUAGUUUGUGCAGUCAACGUCACCGGUGUGGUGCUCUGGUCUGUUCAAUGUUGAUAACAGUGGGCUGGAUGUGUGUGUUCCCUCUGUGUGCUGCCCUGGCUCUGCAGAUUGCUGACACAGCAGACCCCAAGAGAACCCCCAAUGACCACAGAUUCCGAUAAGGUAUGAAAACACAGGCUCUACUUUCCCAGAUCAGAUGUCUACAGUUCUGCUAAAACAUAUGUGCUCCCUGACAAUAGACUGGCUUGGUCAGUGGCGGGACUCCCCACUGCCUCCUAGGCCAGACAAAGACAAACCAGGAGAGGUCCAUUUUUAUACACAGGCACAAACAAGUUACACGUCACUCCUGAUGUAUUGAGGUACGGCCCUUCUACGUGUCAAGGUGCUGCCUAUUAUCUUGCACAUAUUGGUUUGAUCAAAACAACUCUAUCCAUCCUAUUAUUCUUUUGACCCUGUCUUUAGGAUGCGUCAGCCUGUUCCUGUUAUCUGUGUGGAAUGUGCCAGGAUUGGAGUGUUCUGGUACCAUCCUAGCACAUGUUUAUACCUUUAGUGCCCAUUAUCUUUUAGGUAUGUGUGUUUUUGCAAUAUCAGCCCUUUCCUUGCCAGCUGCUGUGAGCAGGGCCUACCUCUGGCUCACAGCUUAACUUUGCUUUAUGUUAACAAAGUCUUGACCACUACUUUAGUUCAGGCCUUAGACCUCAUACUGGGCCUCUGAUAUAAGGGUUUAUGUUUCAGGGCCUCAUCUUACCACAUUCCCCCACUUUUUGUCUUUUAAUGGGAAGAAUGUUUACCCAUCAUCUCGGAAAAGCAUAAUGCAUGGACUAAAGAUAACCCAGUGGGCUAAACAUUGCUACGUGGUUUUCUUAUUUUACCAUCCAUACACUCAUGCCCCAUCUGUCCUUUGGUCUGUACAUUCCCUCAUACAACUGAUAGACAGAUUUUAUUAUCCAAUUAUUUUUAGUCCCUUAUGGUGGGCCUGCAAAUGUUAGGCCCGGGACCUCGACUGAGGAACGUAGUUUUAUAAUUGAGUCUUAGAGGCACUCCCAAAUAAUUAAUAUAUAUCAGUAAUAUGGAUAUGGUGUAUAUAUUUGUAGUGUAUAAGUGCAUAUAUAUAUAAUAUGUAUGUGUACAUAUAACCGCACUUGAUAUCCAAGCAUAACAAUUCUUUUCCAAUCUGGUGUUGUAGUUUAGCCCUUGUGGUACUGCAGUUAGCAACCCACUUUUGUUAAGGCAAUAACAGUUACCAUCUGUAUCAUUAGUAGUAGUCGGCUGAGUGUUUUGAAAUACUGGGAUAGGGAUUGUGAUAAUGUGUCCCACAGGGCUAUGUAUAGGAGAAGUAAAACAGAAAUUUGGAGUAGUGACACUACCACUGAGGCCUUUAAAUAUAAAUAUAUUGUAAUUAGUUACUACACAGUUCUGCCCAUCCAUGUUGUAGAUUACCCCUUAGUGCUGGUUGUCACCCUCUGGGAAGCAUCACUGGGCAGGAAACAGAAGUGGCCAGCUUCUCUGUUCCAUUGGUUGAACUGCUCUGUGAUACACCAGUAGUUGACAUAGAUCCAGUUGUUUCUUAUGGAUGCUGUCUUACAGAUAACCUACUGAAUGGACAAUAACCAAUUUAUCAAAUAUUGCUGUGUUGGGAUGUAGUAUUGGUAUCCAGACACUGAACAAGAUUGUUUUGAAUAACAUGUGCCUUAGUUAGGAUGCAGUGUCAGUAAUCCAAUUUGUAGUUACUGGGUAACUUAAUUUCUUUAAAAAGAAAAGGAGGACUUGUGACACCUUACAGACUAACAAAUUUAUUUGAGCAUAAGCUUUUGUGAGCUACAGCUCACUUCAUCGGAUGCAUUUGGUGGAAAAUACA
Molecule: long non-coding RNA, 4312 nt
Organism: Dermochelys coriacea (leatherback sea turtle)
Lineage: Eukaryota; Metazoa; Chordata; Testudines; Dermochelyidae
Exons: 3
Source: RefSeq, a predicted model, not a curated record